This is a long non-coding RNA of Engraulis encrasicolus (European anchovy), 661 nucleotides long. RefSeq lists it as uncharacterized. The transcript is spliced from 4 exons. Lineage: Eukaryota; Metazoa; Chordata; Actinopteri; Clupeiformes; Engraulidae. The record is from RefSeq and is a predicted model, not a curated record.
UAGGACACAAAUGAAAGAAGAGUACUUCUGCUCUGCUGGGUCUGCGACACUACUUAUCCGAGGAGUCCUCAAACAUUAGGAUGUAGGAAGACACAAGUAAAAGGAGAAGAAUGCUGCUCAGCUGAGUCGGCGGUCACACUACUUAUUCAAGAAGCUCUUGGAUAUCAUCGGCAUGUGUGAAGCACAGUCAUUCCGGUAGGCACGGAGUCGUUCCUCGAUGGACGUGAUGACCUGGCACCAAAACCACUUAAUGUGUAUGAAGCUGUGUCUGCAUCGAGGGAAGAACCCAGCACUGAAAUGACACAAAUGAAAGAGGACGUCUUCUCUGCUGGGUCUGCGACACUACUUAUCCUAGGAAUCCUCAAACAUCAGGAUGUAGGAAGUAAGAUCUUUUUUAUGUCAUGCAUAACAGCCCAUGCGUGCACGCACACGCACACACACACACACACACAUACAAAACAUGCACGUGCACACUCCACUCUACACCAAACACAGAUAAACACACACAACCUUAAAGGAAAAUCCCUACUAGUUUCAACAUCUAAUUAUAUUGUUCUCACUACCACUGGCUUGUCAGGACCCAACAGCCUCUUUUUUCCAGCCCUGUCCGUCAUCUCAUUCUAAUGAGUGCAUGAUCUGUUUACAUAUAAAACAGACAUAG